This 471-nucleotide ribosomal RNA is filed under the name uncultured bacterium. RNAcentral describes it as "bacterial SSU rRNA". It matches the Rfam family "Bacterial small subunit ribosomal RNA", at positions 28 to 507 of the family's 1533-position model. The record is from RNAcentral.
GACGAACGCUGGCGGCGUGCUUAACACAUGCAAGUCGAGCGGGGCUAUGUAAUAUCGCAAGGUAGAACAUAGCCUAGCGGCGAACGGGUGAGUAACACGUGGGUAACCUGCCUGGAAGACAGGGAUAACGAUUCGAAAGGGUCGCUAAUACCUGAUAAUAUCCUUUCAUCGCAUGGUGAUAGGAAGAAAGGGGAGACCCGCUAUGAGAUGAGCCCGCGUCCCAUUAGCUAGUUGGUGGGGUAAAGGCCUACCAAGGCGACGAUGGGUAGCCGGCCUGAGAGGGUGGACGGCCACACUGGGACUGAGACACGGCCCAGACUCCUACGGGGGGCAGCAGUAGGGAAUCUUCGGCAAUGGGCGGAAGCCUGACCGAGCGACGCCGCGUGAGGGACGAAGGCCUUCGGGUUGUAAACCUCUGUCUGGGGGACGGAGUAAGGACGGUACCUCGGAGGAAGCCCGGCUAACUACGUG